GAUGAACGCUGGCGGCGUGCCUAAUACAUGCAAGUCGAGCGAACGGACGAGAAGCUUGCUUCUCUGGUGUUAGCGGCGGACGGGUGAGUAACACGUGGAUAACCUACCUAUAAGACUGGGAUAACUUCGGGAAGCCGGAGCUAAUACCGGAUGAUAUUUUGAACCGCAUGGUUCAAAAGUGAAAGACGGUCUUGCUGUCACUUAUAGAUGGAUCCGCGCUGCAUUAGCUAGUUGGUAAGGUAACGGCUUACCAAGGCAACGAUGCAUAGCCGACCUGAGAGGGUGAUCGGCCACACUGGAACUGAGACACGGUCCAGACUCCUACGGGAGGCAGCAGUAGGGAAUCUUCCGCAAUGGGCGAAAGCCUGACGGAGCAACGCCGCGUGAGUGAUGAAGGUCUUCGGAUCGUAAAACUCUGUUAUUAGGGAAGAACAUAUGUGUAAGUAACUGUGCACAUCUUGACGGUACCUAAUCAGAAAGCCACGGCUAACUACGUG
This 497-nucleotide ribosomal RNA is filed under the name uncultured bacterium. RNAcentral's name for it is "partial 16S ribosomal RNA". It matches the Rfam family "Bacterial small subunit ribosomal RNA", at positions 28 to 507 of the family's 1533-position model. The record is from RNAcentral.